UUAAGUUCAGCGGGUAGUCCUACCUGAUUUGAGGUCAAAUUUGUCAAAUGUUUGUUGUUAUAAGCGGUGCUGACCAGCAUUACCAAAGGCAUAGAUAGAUUUAUCACACCAAUAGCAGCUCAGAUCACCACUAAUGCAUUUCAGGGGAGCCAGCUUUCAUUAGAAAGAAAGACCUGCAAAACCCCCACAUCCAAGCGACA
RNAcentral lists this unclassified non-coding RNA (200 nucleotides) under Inocybe sp. RNAcentral describes it as "partial internal transcribed spacer 2". The record is from RNAcentral. Lineage: Eukaryota; Fungi; Basidiomycota; Agaricomycetes; Agaricales; Inocybaceae.